RNA transcript from Impatiens glandulifera, 3905 nucleotides. It is a transcript of the gene named phospholipid-transporting ATPase 2, with no coding region annotated. The transcript has 27 exons. Lineage: Eukaryota; Viridiplantae; Streptophyta; Magnoliopsida; Ericales; Balsaminaceae. The record is from RefSeq and is a predicted model, not a curated record.
UAUUCAUUCCCCCAAACCAACAGUUAGGGAAGAGAGAGAGGCGAAGGAAGGAAGGAAGGAAGGAAGGAAGGAAGGAGGCAGUGAGUGAGGCUAGGUACCGUUUAUUGUUGAGCUUAAUUCCUGCUUGGAAACUUAUAAUAUGCCUAUUUGAACGUGCUACUGCUGCUGCUGCUGCUGCUGCUGAUAGAAAUAGAGCUCUUAACAGUCUAAGAUCAAUUGAGAAUCAAAGGGCUUGCAGUGGAUUAUAAUUGUUUAUGAGCAUGCUUGAGACCCCUGUUUGCUUUAGAGCUCAGAAUGAAGCGUUAUGUCUACAUUAAUGAUGAUGAACUGUCACACAACCUUUAUUGUGACAAUCGGAUAUCAAAUAGGAAAUACACCAUACUCAAUUUCCUCCCAAAGAACUUAUGGGAGCAGUUCAGCCGCUUCAUGAAUCAAUAUUUUCUAUUGAUUGCUUGCCUCCAACUAUGGCCGCUUAUUACUCCAGUAAAUCCUGCCAGCACAUGGGGUCCCCUCAUAUUGAUAUUUGCCGUGUCUGCUACAAAAGAGGCAUGGGAUGACUAUAACAGAUAUCUAUCAGACAAGAAGGCAAAUGAGAAAGAAGUUUGGGUUGUCAAGGAUGGGAUUAAAAAACAUAUUCAAGCCCAAGAUGUUCACGUGGGAAAUAUUGUAUGGCUUCGUGAGAAUGAUGAAGUUCCAUGUGACCUGGUUCUGCUCGGUACUUCAGAUCCACAAGGUCUUUGCUAUAUAGAGACGUCUGCCUUGGAUGGUGAAACUGAUCUUAAGACAAGAGUGAUACCUUCUGCUUGCAUGGGGAUGGACUUUGAACUACUACACAAAAUGAAGGGAGUAAUUGAGUGUCCAUGUCCAGACAGGGACAUUCGAAGAUUUGAUGCUAACUUGAGGUUGUUUCCUCCCUUUAUCGACAAUGAUCUGUGCCCUUUAACAAUCAAUAACACAACUCUUCAGUCAUGCUAUUUGAGAAAUACGGAAUGGGCUUGUGGAGUUUCUGUAUAUACAGGGAAUGAGACCAAACUGGGUAUGAGCAGGGGUGUACCUGAACCAAAGCUUACAGCUGUUGAUGCAAUGAUUGACAAGUUAACUGGAGCUAUAUUCGUUUUCCAGAUAGUGGUUGUUGUUGUUCUGGGAAUUGCUGGGAAUGUCUGGAAGGAUAUGGAGUCGAGAAAGCAAUGGUAUGUUCAGUAUCCAAUUGAAGGUCCAUGGUAUGAACUGUUGGUCAUCCCCUUGAGAUUUGAGCUUCUUUGCUCCAUUAUGAUACCUAUAUCUAUAAAGGUAUCUCUGGAUCUGGUGAAGAGCUUGUAUGCAAAAUUUAUUGAUUGGGAUGAAGAGAUGGUUGACCUAGAAACUGGCACUCCAGCACGUGCAGCAAAUACAGCAAUUAGUGAGGACUUGGGGCAAGUUGAGUACAUAUUAACAGAUAAAACAGGGACGCUUACAGAGAACAAAAUGAUCUUCAAAAGAUGUUGUAUUGGUGGUAUUUUCUAUGGGAAUGAGAAUGGGGAUGCCCUGAAAGACUCAGAACUGCUCAACUCUGUUACCUGUGGAUCACCUGAUGUUAUGCGCUUCCUCACUGUCAUGGCAGUGUGCAAUACUAUCACACCAAUUAAAAGUAAAAAUGGUUCAAUAUCAUACAAGGGACAGUCUCAGGAUGAGGAAGCUCUAGUACGUGCAGCAGCACAGAUGCAUGUAUCCUUUAUUAAUAAGAGCACAAAUAUCCUUGAAAUCAAUUUUAAUGGUAUCAUGGUACAAUAUGAAGUUCUGGACAUUCUGGAGUUCACUUCUGAUAGGAAAAGAAUGUCAAUAGUGUUGAAAGAUUGCAAGGAUGGUAAAAUUCUCCUGUUGUCUAAGGGGGCAGAUGAAUCAAUUCUUCCUCUUGCAUUGACUGGGCAACAAACACGAAGUUUUGCUGAAGCUGUUGAACAUUAUGCACAACAAGGACUAAGAACGUUAUGCCUGGCUUGGCGUGAACUAGAAGAAGAUGAAUACAUCGAAUGGUCUUUGAUUUUUAAAGAAGCAAAUAGUUCAUUGGUAGAUAGGGAAUGGAAAGUGGCUGAAGUCUGCCAAAGAUUAGAGAAGAACUUUGAAAUCCUUGGGGUUGCUGCAAUAGAAGAUCGUCUACAAGAUGGCGUACCAGAGACAAUUGAGACACUCAGGAAAGCUGGGAUAAAUUUUUGGAUGCUAACUGGAGAUAAGCAGAAUACUGCUAUACAGAUUGCUCUUUCAUGCAAUUUUGUUUCCCCAGAACCCAAAGGCCAGCUUCUUUUAAUUAAUGGCAAGACUGAAGAUGAAGUUUGUAGAAGUUUAGAGAGAGUGUUGCUUACAAUGAGAAUAACAAAUUCGGAACCUAGGGAUGUGGCUUUUGUUAUCGAUGGCUGGGCUCUUGAAAUUACACUUAAGCAUUAUAGGAAAGCAUUUACUGAAUUAGCAAUAUUGUCAAGGACAGCUAUAUGUUGCCGUGUUACACCGUCCCAGAAAGCACAGCUUGUAGAGCUCUUAAAAACAUGUGAAUAUAGAACUUUGGCUAUUGGAGAUGGAGGAAAUGAUGUAAGAAUGAUACAACAAGCUGAUAUUGGAGUUGGAAUUAGUGGGAGGGAAGGGCUUCAGGCAGCAAGAGCAGCUGAUUAUAGCAUUGGAAAAUUCAGGUUUUUGAAGAGGUUGAUACUUGUCCAUGGACGCUAUUCAUACAAUCGUACAGCAUUUUUGUCCCAGUAUUCAUUUUAUAAAUCACUGCUGAUAUGCUUCAUCCAAAUCUUGUUUUCUUUCGUAUCAGGUGUUUCUGGUACUAGUCUUUUCAAUUCUGUCAGUUUGAUGGCCUACAAUGUCUUCUAUACUAGUAUACCUGUUGCUGUCAAUGUCUUGGACAAAGAUCUUAGUGAGAAGACUGUGAUGCAACAUCCUCAGAUUUUAUUUUAUUGCCAAGCAGGGAGGCUUCUCAAUCCUAGCACUUUUGCUGGAUGGUUUGGACGAUCUCUCUUCCAUGCAAUUGUUGUUUUUGUGAUUACGUUGCAUGCUUAUGCUUCUGAAAGAAGCGAAAUGGAGGAAGUGUCAAUGGUGGCACUAUCUGGGUGUAUUUGGUUACAGGCUUUUGUAGUUGCAAUAGAGACCAACUCCUUCACAACGUUGCAACAUUUGGCGGUAUGGGGAAAUCUUGUUGGGUUCUAUGUGAUAAACUGGAUUGUUAGUGCUAUUCCUUCGUCGGGGAUGUAUACCAUAAUGUUCCGCCUGUGUAGACAGCCAUCCUAUUGGAUAAGCAUUGGGCUGAUAGUUGGAGCAGGAAUGGGUCCAGUGCUUGCGUUGAAGUAUUUAAGAUACACAUACAGACCGAGUAAGAUUAAUGUUCUUCAGCAGGCAGAGAGGUUAGGAGGGCCGAUAUUGUCCCUUGGAAGUAUAGUAGAGGCUCCUCAGGGAAGAGUAGCAAAUGAGAAAGAUAUGACACCGUUGAGUAUAAUAACGUCACAGGCGAAGAACAACAGAAACCCAGUUUAUGAACCGCUGCUGUCAGAUUCCCCAAAUGCCACAAGAAGAUCUCUAGGAUCGGGGACACCCUUUGAGUUCUUUCAGACGUCACAGUCUCGAUUGUCCUCUAGCUACUCCAGAAACUGCAAAGACAACUAACUAUCUAGAAAUGAUAAAAAAUACCCUCCCCUACAGUUUAGCUAGCUAAAUAAUUAUCUGCACGGAUGAGAAGCUGCUUGCUGCUGUUGAGAGGGGAGGAGAAGUCCAAAAUUUGUGUUGUAGCUAAUUUCGUAUGGAUGUACGAGUAAAACCAUUGAUUAUUAUUAUAAGAUUGAUUGAUGACUGGUUAUGGAUACAUUUAUUUUGGGAGUGAGAAAAGUACACAAGUAUGAGACUACAUUUCUAUCAAGACAUUUAUUAUUUACAUGCCA